RNAcentral lists this ribosomal RNA (472 nucleotides) under uncultured bacterium. RNAcentral describes it as "partial 16S ribosomal RNA". It matches the Rfam family "Bacterial small subunit ribosomal RNA", at positions 28 to 507 of the family's 1533-position model. The record is from RNAcentral.
GAUGAACGCUGGCGGCGUGCCUAAUACAUGCAAGUCGAGCGAACGGACGAGAAGCUUGCUUUUCUGAUGUUAGCGGCGGACGGGUGAGUAACACGUGGAUAACCUACCUAUAAGACUGGGAUAACUUCGGGAAACCGGAGCUAAUACCGGAUAAUAUUUUGCACCGCAUUGUUCACAAGUUAAAGACGGUCUUGCUGUCACUUAUAGAUGGAUCCGCGCUGCAUUCGCUAGUUGGUAGAGAAACGGCUAACCAAAGCAACGAUGCAUACCGGGCCAGAGAGGCUGAUCAGCAACACUGGGACUGAGACCCGGGACAGAAGACUAGGGGAGGGCGCAGAGUGGAAAAUUGGAAAAUGGGCGAAAGCAUGAUGCAGCAAUGCAGAGUGAGUGAUGAAGGCCUUAGGGAUGUAAAGCUCGUUUACCCGGGAUGAUAAUGACAGUACAGGGAGAAUAAGCGAGGGCUAGCUCCGUG